Molecule: ribosomal RNA, 831 nt
Filed under: uncultured bacterium
Lineage: Bacteria
Description: bacterial SSU rRNA
Rfam family: Bacterial small subunit ribosomal RNA
Source: RNAcentral
AGAGUUUGAUCCUGGCUCAGGAUGAACGCUGGCGGCGUGCCUAAUACAUGCAAGUCGAGCGAACCACUUCGGUGGUGAGCGGCGAACGGGUGAGUAACACGUAGGUGAUCUGCCCAUCAGACGGGGACAACGAUUGGAAACGAUCGCUAAUACCGGAUAGGACGAAAGUUUAAAGGUGCUUCUGGCACCGCUGAUGGAUGAGCCUGCGGCGCAUUAGCUAGUUGGUAGGGUAAAGGCCUACCAAGGCGACGAUGCGUAGCCGACCUGAGAGGGUGAACGGCCACACUGGGACUGAGACACGGCCCAGACUCCUACGGGAGGCAGCAGUAGGGAAUCUUCGGCAAUGGGCGAAAGCCUGACCGAGCAACGCCGCGUGAAUGAUGAAGGCCUUCGGGUUGUAAAAUUCUGUUAUAAGGGAAGAACGACUUUAGUAGGAAAUGGCUAGAGUGUGACGGUACCUUAUGAGAAAGCCACGGCUAACUACGUGCCAGCAGCCGCGGUAAUACGUAGGUGGCGGGCGUUAUCCGGAAUUAUUGGGCGUAAAGAGCGCGCAGGUGGUUGAUUAAGUCUGAUGUGAAAGCCCACGGCUUAACCGUGGAGGGUCAUUGGAAACUGGUCGACUUGAGUGCAGAAGAGGGAAGUGGAAUUCCAUGUGUAGCGGUGAAAUGCGUAGAGAUAUGGAGGAACACCAGUGGCGAAGGCGGCUUCCUGGUCUGUAACUGACACUGAGGCGCGAAAGCGUGGGGAGCAAACAGGAUUAGAUACCCUGGUAGUCCACGCCGUAAACGAUGAGUGUUAAGUGUUGGGGGUCGAACCUCAGUGACUGAAGUU